This 389-nucleotide ribosomal RNA is filed under the name Syndiniales sp. RNAcentral's name for it is "partial small subunit ribosomal RNA". It matches the Rfam family "Eukaryotic small subunit ribosomal RNA", at positions 582 to 975 of the family's 1831-position model. Lineage: Eukaryota; Dinophyceae; Syndiniales. The record is from RNAcentral.
AUUCCAGCUCCAAUAGCGUAUAUUAAAGUUGUUGCGGUAAAAAAGCUCGUAGUUGGAUUUCUGUCGAGAACAGCCGGUCACGAUUUUGUCGUUGUAUCUGGUUUGGUCUUGGCAUCCUCUUGGGGAACAUUUCUGCGCUUCACUGCGUGGAGUGGUAUUCAAGACUUUUACUUUGAGGAAAUUAGAGUGUUCACGGCAGGCAAUCGCCCUGAAUAUAUUAGCAUGGGAUAAUGAUAUAGGACCUUGGUUCUAUUUUGUUGGUUUCUAGAACUAAGGUAAUGAUUAAUAGGGACAAUUGGGGGCAUUCGUAUUAACGCGUCAGAGGUGGAAUUCUUAGAUUGCGUUACGACGAACUACUGCGAAAGCAUUUGCCAAGGAUGUUUUCAUUA